RNAcentral lists this transfer RNA (75 nucleotides) under Ignavibacteria bacterium. RNAcentral describes it as "tRNA-Val". It matches the Rfam family "tRNA". From Rfam's summary of the family: Transfer RNA (tRNA) molecules are approximately 80 nucleotides in length. Their secondary structure includes four short double-helical elements and three loops (D, anti-codon, and T loops). Lineage: Bacteria; Pseudomonadati; Ignavibacteriota; Ignavibacteria. The record is from RNAcentral.
GGGCGAUUAGCUCAGUUGGUUUAGAGCGCCUGCCUUACAAGCAGGAUGUCGGGGGUUCAAGUCCCUCAUCGCCCA